CCUACGGGAGGCAGCAGUGAGGAAUAUUGGUCAAUGGGCGCGAGCCUGAACCAGCCAAGUAGCGUGAAGGAUGACUGCCCUACGGGUUGUAAACUUCUUUUAUAAAGGAAUAAAGUGAGGCACGUGUGCCUUUUUGUAUGUCCUUUAUGAAUAAGGAUCGGCUAACUCCGUGACAGCAGCCGCGGUAAUACGGGGGAUCCGAGCGUUCUCCGGAAUUAUUGGGUUUGAAGGGAGCGUUGAUGGGUUGUUAAGUCAGUUGUGAAAGUUUGCGGCUCAAACGUAAAAUUUGCAAUUGAGACUGGCAGCCUUGAGUACAGUUGAGGUAGGCGGAAUUCGUGGUGUAGCGGUGAAAUGCUUAGAUAUCACGAAGAACUCCGAUUGCGAAGGCAGCCUACUAAACUGCCACUGACAUUGAUGCUCGAAAGUGUGGGUAUCAAACAGGAUUAGAUACCCCAGUAGUC
This 461-nucleotide ribosomal RNA is filed under the name uncultured bacterium. RNAcentral's name for it is "partial 16S ribosomal RNA". It matches the Rfam family "Bacterial small subunit ribosomal RNA", at positions 338 to 795 of the family's 1533-position model. The record is from RNAcentral.